Molecule: long non-coding RNA, 800 nt
Organism: Ostrinia nubilalis (European corn borer)
Lineage: Eukaryota; Metazoa; Arthropoda; Insecta; Lepidoptera; Crambidae
Exons: 2
Source: RefSeq, a predicted model, not a curated record
AAUGUCAUACGUGUCAAAUCCAUCAAUGUUUUAUUUACUUGCCGACCUUUCGUGUUUUACAAUUUUGUAUUCAAUAAAAUAAAAUAAUUGAUUUUAUGCCAGUUAGAUUUAUGCCUAUAAAUAUUUAGGAAAUUUUCCUCUCGAGCUUUUACACCACACGUGUUGUAUUGUUACACUAUUAGCAAUGGAAAAUAGUAACGGAGAAAUUUACAAUUUUAAUGGGCUAAAAGAAAAGCCAGAAGAAUUACUUUUACUUGUUGAUAAAUAUGUUAGGGUUCAACUCAUUAAAAAUUCAACAUUCACAGGAUUUAUGCAUUCUAUUGACCCUAUAUCGUAUAGUAUGAUCUUGUCUGUGCCUCAAGAGAAUAAUGAAUUCAAGACUAUUUUAAUACCAGGACAUGCAAUAUUGGAUAUAAUGGAGGUAGAAGCAAUUCCAGAUAGAAGUCCACCCAUUAGAAAAUCGUUUGAGUCUUCAAAGGAAGAAACAUCUAAGAAAAAAGACAAAAUUAUAGCAUGGUUGAAAUGGAAUAUGUUGCCUGCAUCAGAAAGCGGGGACAAAAUUAUAUUUGGGAAUGCUAGUCUGUUACCUCCUUACAGCGACAGAGAUAUUUGCACAGAUAACCCAAUAGUAGCUAUGCAAAUGAGAAAAAUGAUUAAAUCAAUGCCGCAAAAUUUUGGAGCGCCUGAAAAUUAAAAAUAUUAAAUAAAACUUCUGUUACAUUUAUAGAUUAAGUCUAGUUAAAGAUAUUGUACUCAUAAGAUAUUUCAAUUACUUAAUAAAGACUGAAUUUUUAAAAUUA